ACGCUUCUUUUUCCACCGGAGCUUGCUCCACCGGAAAAAGAGGAGUGGCGAACGGGUGAGUAACACGUGGGUAACCUGCCCAUCAGAAGGGGAUAACACUUGGAAACAGGUGCUAAUACCGUAUUACAAUCGAAACCGCAUGGUUUUGAUUUGAAAGGCGCUUUCGGGUGUCGCUGAUGGAUGGACCCGCGGUGCAUUAGCUAGUUGGUGAGGUAACGGCUCACCAAGGCGACGAUGCAUAGCCGACCUGAGAGGGUGAUCGGCCACAUUGGGACUGAGACACGGCCCAAACUCCUACGGGAGGCAGCAGUAGGGAAUCUUCGGCAAUGGACGAAAGUCUGACCGAGCAACGCCGCGUGAGUGAAGAAGGUUUUCGGAUCGUAAAACUCUGUUGUUAGAGAAGAACAAGGAUGAGAGUAACUGUUCAUCCCUUGACGGUAUCUAACCAGAAAGCCACGGCUAACUACGUGCCAGCAGCCGCGGUAAUACGUAGGUGGCAAGCGUUGUCCGGAUUUAUUGGGCGUAAAGCGAGCGCAGGCGGUUUCUUAAGUCUGAUGUGAAAGCCCCCGGCUCAACCGGGGAGGGUCAUUGGAAACUGGGAGACUUGAGUGCAGAAGAGGAGAGUGGAAUUCCAUGUGUAGCGGUGAAAUGCGUAGAUAUAUGGAGGAACACCAGUGGCGAAGGCGGCUCUCUGGUCUGUAACUGACGCUGAGGCUCGAAAGCGUGGGGAGCAAACAGGAUUAGAUACCCUGGUAGUCCACGCCGUAAACGAUGAGUGCUAAGUGUUGGAGGGUUUCCGCCCUUCAGUGCUGCAGCUAACGCAUUAAGCACUCCGCCUGGGGAGUACGACCGCAAGGUUGAAACUCAAAGGAAUUGACGGGGGCCCGCACAAGCGGUGGAGCAUGUGGUUUAAUUCGAAGCAACGCGAAGAACCUUACCAGGUCUUGACAUCCUUUGACCACUCUAGAGAUAGAGCUUCCCCUUCGGGGGCAAAGUGACAGGUGGUGCAUGGUUGUCGUCAGCUCGUGUCGUGAGAUG
This 1038-nucleotide ribosomal RNA is filed under the name Enterococcus hirae. RNAcentral's name for it is "bacterial SSU rRNA". It matches the Rfam family "Bacterial small subunit ribosomal RNA", at positions 66 to 1074 of the family's 1533-position model. The record is from RNAcentral. Lineage: Bacteria; Bacillati; Bacillota; Bacilli; Lactobacillales; Enterococcaceae.